RNAcentral lists this ribosomal RNA (60 nucleotides) under Prevotella sp. lc2012. The record is from RNAcentral. Lineage: Bacteria; Pseudomonadati; Bacteroidota; Bacteroidia; Bacteroidales; Prevotellaceae.
UAAGCCCGCCUGCGCCGAUGGUACUGCAAUGCAAUGCGGGAGAGUAGGAGGCCGCCACUU